UACAGAGGGUGCGAGCGUUAAUCGGAUUUACUGGGCGUAAAGGGCGCGUAGGCGGUUAUGUAAGUGAGAUGUGAAAUCCCUGGGCUUAACCUAGGAACUGCAUCUCAUACUGUGUAGCUAGAGUAUUGUAGAGGGUAGUGGAAUUUCCGGUGUAGCGGUGAAAUGCGUAGAUAUUGGGAAGAACACCGGUGGCGUAGGCGACUAGCUGGGCCAUAACUGACGCUGAGGCGCGAGAGCGUGGGGAGCAAACAGG
Molecule: ribosomal RNA, 253 nt
Filed under: uncultured bacterium
Lineage: Bacteria
Description: partial 16S ribosomal RNA
Rfam family: Bacterial small subunit ribosomal RNA
Source: RNAcentral